RNAcentral lists this transfer RNA (72 nucleotides) under Sphaerodactylus townsendi. Its description in RNAcentral is "tRNA-Lys". Lineage: Eukaryota; Metazoa; Chordata; Lepidosauria; Squamata; Sphaerodactylidae. The record is from RNAcentral.
GAGGUCAUGGUUCAGUGGUAGAGCAUCUGCUUUUUAUGAAAAAGUUCCCAGAUUCAAUCCUGGGCAUCUUCA